RNAcentral lists this ribosomal RNA (468 nucleotides) under uncultured bacterium. Its description in RNAcentral is "partial 16S ribosomal RNA". It matches the Rfam family "Bacterial small subunit ribosomal RNA", at positions 28 to 507 of the family's 1533-position model. The record is from RNAcentral.
GACGAACGCUGGCGGCGUGCUUAACACAUGCAAGUCGAACGGAAAGGCCCUGCUUUUGUGGGUCGCUCGAUUGCCGAAGGGGGGUGUAAAACGUGAGUAACCUCCCCUUAACUUUGGGAUAACUUUAGGAAACUGGGGCUAAAACCGGGGAGGAGCUCUUGCACCACGUGGGGGGUUGGAGAGAUUCGGCGUUUGGGGAUGGACUCGCGGCUUAUGAGCUUGUUGGUGGGGUAGGGGCUGACCAGGGCUUUGACGGGUAGCCGGCCUGAGAGGGUGACCGGCCACAUUGGGACUGCGAUACGGCCCAGACUCCUACGGGAGGCAGAAGUGGGGAAUAUUGCACAAUGGGCGGAAGCCUGAUGCAGCAACGCCGCGUGCGGGAUGACGGCCUUCGGGUUGUAAACCGCUUUCGCCUGUGACGAAGCGUGAGUGACGGUAAUGGGUAAAGAAGCACCGGCUAACUACGUG